AUUUAUAUAAUAUAUUUAGUAUAUUUGAUUUCCAAUCAAAAAGAUUAAAAAAAAAUUUAAUAUAAAUA
This 68-nucleotide transfer RNA is filed under the name Barsine fuscozonata. RNAcentral describes it as "tRNA-Gly". Lineage: Eukaryota; Metazoa; Arthropoda; Insecta; Lepidoptera; Erebidae. The record is from RNAcentral.